This 4357-nucleotide long non-coding RNA is filed under the name Homo sapiens (human). RNAcentral's name for it is "HSALNT0206304". The record is from RNAcentral. Lineage: Eukaryota; Metazoa; Chordata; Mammalia; Primates; Hominidae.
AGAAAGUUCAGUUUCUGACUCACCCUGAUUUUGAGAAACUGUUUCUUAGGGUCAUUCCCUAAGGUUGGAAUCGCUCUCUCUCUCUCUGUUGGUUAGUGCCCUGUAAACACUGACAAUUUUCUUUCUCUUCAGUUCUUCAUUCUUGGUCUAGUGCUUCAGUUUCCAAGUCUACAUGACUAUGCUACAGUGUAAGGUUAUUUAGACGUACAAUUUCAUGAUUUCUUUCUUCUGGGAUUAUUUGCUUGACUUGUGAUUAGCUUGCCUGAUCACAGACAAUAGUAACUUUUUAACCAUUCUUACAUGAUUUCCCUUUUCCUUAAAUUUGUUGUUUCUGUAUUAGAAGCAGGAAAAAAGGGCCAACGUUUAGAAUUUGAAAAGCAGUGUUUGAAUGCACUUGUUACCUGGUAAACCAGUCAUUUACUGCUAUCUUACAAAUGACCACAGCACAUGGUAGACUUAAAGAACAAUUAUUUGCACAUUUCUCAAUUUUGUGGGUCAGAAACUGGCAGCACUCAGCUGAGAGACUCUUCUGUUUUACGGGGAUUCACAGCGUUCACUCAGAGACAGAUAGCUGGUGGGCAGGCCGGUGUCAGGGACCAAGGAUGGCAUCACUCGUGUGUCUGGCCCUUGACAGGGAUGCUGGAGGUCUGGGCUCACCUGGGAAUGGAGAUGGCAACACCUACAUGUGACCUUUCCAGCAUGGCAGUCUCAGAGUGGAUAUGGCAACAGCUGCACAUGAACUCUCCGGCAUGGCAGUCUCAGAGUGGAUAUGGCAACAGCUGCACAUGACCUCUCCGGCAUGGCAGUCUCAGAGUGGAUAUGGCAACACCUGCACACGACCUCUCCGGCAUGGCAGUCUCAGAGUGGAUAUGGCAACACCUACACACGACCUCUCCAGCAUGGCAGUCUCAGAGUGGAUAUGGCAACAGCUACACAUGACCUCACCGGCAUGGCAGUCUCAGAGUGGAUAUGGCAACAGCUACACAUGACCUCACCAGCAUGGCAGUCUCAGGUUACUGGUACUUCUUAGGUCUCAGCUGAGGACUCCAGUGCAGGUGUUGCAAGACAGCAGACGUAGCACUGCUUAUGUGUAUCCUGAAGUCCCAUGUGUAUCCUGAAGUCCCAGAAAGCUGCUUCAAGUAGAUUCCAGUGGAGAAGGGAGUCACCAAGGCUGGACAGUCAUUUAUCCAUGGCAGGACUAGCAAAAAAAUCUGCACCAUCUCUCAUCGCACACACGUGGGCGCAGUCAACAGCAGUGGAAGAGCUGGCUCAUGUGUGGCUCAGGCUGACUCCACAAUCAGAGUGAUUAUGUGGAAAUCAAUCAGAAUUUUCUUCUUAGAAGAUGUUUGUUCUGACAUAAUGACUGACUUUCCAGCUAAUUUUUAUUCAUAGGCUUCUCCUUGCACAAUGAUCUCUAUUUCUCUCAAUGUUAUUCUGUGUCUUUCUUGCUUGCCUGCACAUUCUGAAAAAAAAAGGAAAGCAAUUCCCUACAUUUUAUUUUGAUACUUAAUGUUGUUUGCUAACAUAUUCAGAACACAAUGCAACUUUAUAUAUUAGAGCACUUAUAAUAUAUAUUAGGAAAACAUCAAUUAGGUACCACCAGUUAUUUUAGACAGGUAUCUCUUAGGUAAAAUGUGGUGAAAAUAGAGGGGCAAUGAUAGAAUUCAUAUGUGAAAGAGUCAAUUGGCCAUCAUUAUGCCAAAAUUAUUUUGUGGUUCAGGGGACAUUUUAAACUUUAAUUUUUAAGAAUUAAACUUUAAUUAAAUUUAUUGUAGUUUAAAUGCAAUCACAAGGAAAGACUCUGAACUGGAAACACCAAGCCAAGCUCUUUCCUAGUUCUGGUCCCCUAUAAACCCUGAAAGUUAAUGCAAUUAUUGUAAUUUUUAAACCACCGAGUUCUCAGGGUGAUUAGUUAUGCAGCAAUAGAUAGCCUGAAAAGGACCAUUCUUUCUGGCACUGAAAAUUAAGAAGAGUGAUUAACAACAUAAGAAUGUAGUUUGUGCUGUCUGCCACAGAUUUAUGUUGUAGCUUCAGUGAUUGCUUCAAAGCACCCUUACUAAUUGCCAGCCUAUUGCUGAUACCUAGCUAAAUUAGCAUGUGUUAGUUUUGAUACCACUAUAGGCAUUUAAAGGAUAGCUGAUACAUUCUAUAUAAAAUAUAAUUAUUUUCCUAUCUUUAGUUUAUCCUAAAGUAGCAGCUAUUAUAUUCGCUUCUUGAUUAGCUUUAUACAUAACCAGAGAAAGUAAAAUAUCACAGAGUAUAUUUGAAGACAUAAAAGUCUUUGGACAAAGCUCAAGUAAUGAAUCAGGAUGCUAUUACAUCCUCCACAUGACAGUAAAUAUAUUUUAUAUUCCUAAAUUUUAAGCUUUUAACAAAAGCAAAUUUUAUACUGGACUAUUUCAAUUUCUAGGGAAAGGAAAUUAUCAUUUACUGUCUUUGAGGCUAUAAUCUAUUUAGCCAUUAUUUUUAUAUUGAUCAAUUUAUAAUAAAGGUAAGAGAAAAUACUACCACAUAUAUGUUGUUUAUAUAAUUUUAACUUUCAUAAUUAAAAUACUGGGUAUACUGCAAGAUGUCAAUAUUUAUAAUAGCUUAUAUUUGGAAACAAUUAUACUUUAUAUACUCCUAAUCCAUUGCCUUGUGUGUCAUUGAAGAAAUUGAAGUUCACAAUAAUGACUGAACAAAUGCUCAAAGCUGGUCUGUGGCAGAACCAAAAAUUUCCAUGGCACCUUUCUCUUUCCAUAUUGGGGUGAUCUGCCUAAUUUGACUUUCUGCUUAUAUGUCUAGACUCUACCCCUCAUUCCUUCUGCUAGUGUGUUGUUGAACCCUUUCUAUUAACCCACUCUCGAUUUUUCUGUUGCACAAUCAAUCUGUAGCCUGAAUGUUGAGUCCCAAAUGCAUGAGCUACCUGGCCGAGUAAUCUAACUAGAUUAGCCUGAGUAUAUCACUUUAAGGCCAAUGUAAAGUUAUGUUGUAACUACCUCAUAGUUUUGCAGAGGCAAGAAAUAGAAGUUAAGGAAGAGAAGAAGCCAAUCUUGAAUCAGUUAGAAUUUCCUUGGACAUAGAAAAUCUCUACAAGCAAAAACCCAUUUGAUUGAACAAGCAAGCUUAUGCAGUUAAAUAUAUCAAAGAUCUUGUCACAAAAAGUGUAAAGGGAAAGUAAAAUAAGGAGGGAGCAUGAAGAAGCCAGCUUAUAUUAAAGAUUCAAAGCAGGGAUAUAAGGAAAUUCAAGCCAAAAAUAAGGAAGAAUUCUUAUAAAUGCCCCAAGAAUGAAUUCGAUGUUUGGUCGAUAUUCCAACAGAUUUAGUAAUGCUAUUUUUAAAGUCAACAGGCUGCCCAUUUUUGCCUCACACUCUGACUGCAUGUAAUCUGUCAAGUACUCUGAUGAGUUCUGGAGAUGCUAAUGCAAAAAAGAUAUAAAAUCCUUACCUUGAAAAUGUAGUUCACAAUUUAGCCAUGGAGUUAUGGCAAGCAUCUUGUCUUCAAUUUUAGCCCCUCCUCCAUCCCUCUCCCAGACACCCAUUGUCCUCUUUCUCACCACAUCCACCCCCUUUUUUGUCCUGUCUUUGGUGCACUAUUUAUAAUUCUUCUCAUGUCUACCACAACUAUUUUGGGUAGUAAGAACAUCAGUAUGGAGACCCCUUAAUCCUAACUAAUAUCAACUCUAUCUGUUUGGUAUUAAUUCUUGUUUAUUGAACUUGAGGCAUUGAGUACUACAAAAAUUAUAAUACACUACUGGUGAACAUUACUUUAUUAAUGAUUAGGUUCCACUUGGAUGUUUGUCAUUCGUAUGUAGCUGUUCUCUCCUUGUAGCCUGUAAACUUUCUAUGGAUGUCACAAAAAGAGUUUUAAGGAUUUUGCUUAAAUUAAAAUUAAUACAUCAAGAAAAUACUAUGCCUCAAACAAAAAAUAAUCAGUUAAUUUAGUUUUUAGAAAUCUUUUACAAAAAACGUGAUAUUUAAUAAUCUUUAUGCAAGGAUUUUUGGGAUAUUAAAAUUGUCACAGAUUUAAUAAUACGUUUUAUUGUAUAAAAUUUUUCUUUUCUCUUCAAAGUGUUGGGAGAGUGAAUUCUCUAAGUAAAAACUGAAGAGUAAGAUGUUAUCAUUAAACAUUUCAGAAAAUGCACACUAUCGUAGACUGCGCACUGUGAAAAUGAUCAGCUAGUAGAGGUUUUGGUGAACAUAUAGUAACUUUUAUCAACAAGUAAUGUGAAUAUGUGAAAUCUAUUGCUUUUCCAAAAGAAAGAAACUUUUACACUUCUUGGUAAAGAUAAACUUUCAUGUAAGAAAAAAUAAAAACAUAAUUUUAGCAAUCCAAACCAUACUAAAAUCAUAAACACUUGACCACAUGUUUGAGUACC